GACGAACGCUGGCGGCGUGCUUAACACAUGCAAGUCGAACGGGCCUUGUCCCCUUUUUUUUGGGGGUGGGGUUAGUGGCGAACGGGUGAGUAACACGUGAGUAACCUGCCCCUCACUUCUGGAUAACCGCUUGAAAGGGUGGCUAAUACGGGGUGUUCUGGCCUGCUCGCAUGGGUGGGUUUGGAAAGAUUCGACCGGUUUUGGUUGUUUUGGUGGGGGAUGGGCUCGCGGCCUAUCAGCUUGUUGGUGGGGUGAUGGCCUGCCAAGGCUUUGACGGGUAGCCGGCCUGAGAGGGUGGGCGGUCACACUGGGACUGAGACACGGCCCAGACUCCUACGGGAGGCAGCAGUGGGGAAUAUUGCACAAUGGGCGCAAGCCUGAUGCAGCGACGCCGCGUGAGGGAUGGAGGCCUUCGGGGUGUGAACCUCUUUCGCCAGUGAAGAAGGUCCUGCUCUUUGUGGUGGGGUUGACGGUAGCUGGGUUAAUGAAGCGCCGGCUAACUACGUG
RNAcentral lists this ribosomal RNA (507 nucleotides) under uncultured bacterium. Its description in RNAcentral is "partial 16S ribosomal RNA". It matches the Rfam family "Bacterial small subunit ribosomal RNA", at positions 28 to 507 of the family's 1533-position model. The record is from RNAcentral.